CUCUGCACAUCAGUCCCCCGAGAUCUUGUCCGUGAUUUUCUCCGAUUUUUAGGGAUUUUGCCUCUGUAAGUGGUCUUCGUAUGAUUCUAAAUGUCUUCCAGGGGUUCUUCUUCUAGUGGCUCUAGGAGUUCGUCUGUCUCGGUCUCCCAGAGUCCUCAGACGAUAGAUGAACCGGUAGGUAGAGCUGAACCUCGUCUGAUUUUUGCAUCGGACGCCAUUCCUUGUUCUCUGACUCCAGAUGAACUCCAACUGAUAAGAGUUCAGUAUGGGG
RNAcentral lists this long non-coding RNA (271 nucleotides) under Elaeis guineensis (African oil palm). RNAcentral's name for it is "long non-coding RNA (EGUI_LNC056697)". The record is from RNAcentral. Lineage: Eukaryota; Viridiplantae; Streptophyta; Magnoliopsida; Arecales; Arecaceae.